Molecule: small nuclear RNA, 296 nt
Filed under: Sorex araneus (European shrew)
Lineage: Eukaryota; Metazoa; Chordata; Mammalia; Eulipotyphla; Soricidae
Description: 7SK RNA (ENSSARG00000018097.1)
Rfam family: 7SK RNA
About the family: 7SK was discovered as an abundant small nuclear RNA in the mid-70s but a possible function has only recently been suggested. Two independent studies have found that 7SK RNA binds the CDK9/cyclin T complex (known as elongation factor P-TEFb).
Source: RNAcentral
GGAUAUGAAGGUGAUCUGGCUGAGACAUCUGUCACCCCAUUGAUCCCCAGGGUUUAUUUGGCUGAUCUGGCUGGCUAGGUAGGUGUCCCCUUCCUCCCUCACUGCUCCAUGUGCAUCCCUCCCGAAGCUGCGCACUGGCCUUUCCCGAAUAGAGACCAACUGGUCUUCGGUUGAGGGUAUACAAGUAGCUGUCCUCCCCUGCUGAACCUUCAAACAAAAAAUACUAGUCUUCAAUAAAUACUUGCGGUACCAUAAAUGUCAAUAUAUAGGUUCAAAACCAUUGAUAAGCAGUGUUU